RNAcentral lists this ribosomal RNA (328 nucleotides) under uncultured bacterium. Its description in RNAcentral is "bacterial SSU rRNA". It matches the Rfam family "Bacterial small subunit ribosomal RNA", at positions 28 to 334 of the family's 1533-position model. The record is from RNAcentral.
GAUGAACGCUGGCGGCGUGCCUAACACAUGCAAGUCGAGCGAAGCACUCUACUCGAUUUCUUCGGGAUGAAGGUUUAGUGACUGAGCGGGCGUACGGGUGAAGGUACGCGUAGGUAGUAACCUGCCUCAUACAGGGGGAUAACAGUUAGAAAUGACUGCUAAUACCGCAUAAGACCACAGCACCGCAUGGUGCAGGGGUAAAACUCCGGUGGUAUGAGAUGGAUCCGCGUCUGAUUAGCUAGUUGGUAAGGUAACGGCUUACCAAGGCAACGAUCAGUAGCCGACCUGAGAGGGUGACCGGCCACAUUGGGACUGAGACACGGCCCAA